CCUACGGGGAGCUGCAGUGGGGGAUAUUGCACAAUGGGGGAAACCCUGAUGCAGCGACGCCGCGUGUGGGAAGACGGUCCUCUGGAUUGUAAACCACUGUCCCCAGGGACGAAGAUGACGGUACCUGGGGAGGAAGCUCAGGCCAACUAAGUACCAGCAGACGCGGUAAUACGUAGGGAGCGAGCGUAGUCCGGAAUUACUGGGUGUAAAGGGAGCGUAGGCGGGUAUGCAGGUUGGUGGGCAAGACUACGGGCUAAACUGGUAGUCGCACUCAAAACUGCAGCUCUUGAGUGAAGUAGAGGCAGGCGGAAUUCCUAGUGUAGCGGUGAAAUGCGUAGAUAUUAGGAGGAACACCAGUGGCGAAGGCGGCCUGCUGGACUUUUACUGACGCUGAGGCUCGAAAGUGUGGGGAGCAAACAGGAUUAGAUACCCGUGUAGUC
Molecule: ribosomal RNA, 440 nt
Filed under: uncultured bacterium
Lineage: Bacteria
Description: partial 16S ribosomal RNA
Rfam family: Bacterial small subunit ribosomal RNA
Source: RNAcentral